CAGAAUGAGAGAGAGAGAGAGAGAGAGAGAGAGAGAGAGAGAGAGAGAGAGGUUAUAGUGGUGGGGAUGAUGAUGUUGGGUAUGUGGUAGCAUCAGCGCACAUCUCACACAUUCACACAGAGGAGCUUCAUAGACCGCCGAGAUGUGGCGGAUAGUGGAGCUCGUGGCGUGUUUACUUAUGAUGUCCAGUCAUGUAUCAUCUCAGAACAAGAUAUUCGUGUCUCUUUGCAAAUCUGAGUGCUCUUUUUUUCAACUCAAGAGGAGAUUGCAUGAUUUUUUGUCCUCAGGAGAAAGAUCUUAAAAGGAGAAGUCUCCAUUUGUUCUUUAUUUCAUCUUAUUGCUGUCUAGUAUGCUCAAGAUAUUUUUUCCCUAAGAGUGCCUGACGUUUUCAGGUAAACCAUAAGACGUUGAAACACAGGUGUGUUUGAUUAGAGUUGGAACUGAACCCAGGAAGGUAGCAGACCUUAGCAUCCUAAAUCAAGGGUUUGAGUAACAUACAGUAGAGAAAAAGUGCAGAGACAUCUGAAAAAAAAUCCAGCAAGACAGCGGCUUUUGAAUCCAUCAUGAAGAUUUCCAGUAACCUUCCAUUAUAAUCUCCACUCCAAAUGUAUUUUCUGGUGACAUCUUCGAAGUUUUUCAGUUGUUCACCCCAAUUGUUCAAAUUGCACCUAAUGAGAAGUGUUUACCACUUCAUUGGAAGCUUUUCUUUAAGCCCUUCCAGCUGUGACGGACAGAUGAAAGGCUGAUGUGUGCACAGAGAAAGUCACUUCGGCUAAGAAAACGACACUGAGACGUCAUGACGCAUCAGGAGCCGCACUUAUCACAGGUCACGGCUCGCCGGAGAGGACGACGGCCCCAAUCCUCACUGUUGUUGGAUUUUUUUUUCAUUUCAUUUCCAUUUCAUUCCCUGUUCUGAGUUUUGAUGAAAAUGUGAGUGUUUUUCGAAUAAUGAUCUUUAAAAAAGCAUCAUAUGACCCCUUUAAAAACAGAAGAAAUUUCUCA
This 1002-nucleotide long non-coding RNA is filed under the name Sinocyclocheilus anshuiensis. RNAcentral's name for it is "lncRNA (ENSSANG00000010857.1)". Lineage: Eukaryota; Metazoa; Chordata; Actinopteri; Cypriniformes; Cyprinidae. The record is from RNAcentral.